ACGGAGGGUGCGAGCGUUGUUCGGAAUUACUGGGCGUAAAGCGCGCGCAGGUGGGUGCGUAAGUCGGAGGUGAAAGCGCAGGGCUCAACCCUGCGACGCCCUUCGAGACUGCGUGUCUAGGGACCGGUAGAGGUGAGUGGAAUUCCCGGUGUAGCGGUGGAAUGCGUAGAUAUCGGGAAGAACACCGGAGGCGAAGGCGGCUCACUGGGCCGGAUCCGACACUGAGGCGCGAAAGCGUGGGGAGCAAACAGGA
RNAcentral lists this ribosomal RNA (253 nucleotides) under uncultured prokaryote. Its description in RNAcentral is "partial 16S ribosomal RNA". It matches the Rfam family "Bacterial small subunit ribosomal RNA", at positions 525 to 777 of the family's 1533-position model. The record is from RNAcentral.